Non-coding RNA from Paramuricea clavata, 281 nucleotides. The record is from the annotation of a GenBank genome assembly. NCBI's taxonomy places the organism in Eukaryota, Metazoa, Cnidaria, Anthozoa, Malacalcyonacea, Plexauridae.
GCCAGAACCAGGGAAAUAACGAUGUCAAAUAUUGUUUUGUUAAUCGUUAUUGUCUUGACAUGUAUUUCUACCGAAACCGCUGCCCAAGUGGUCUGUGUUAAUCCGAUAGAAAUUGGCGAACUUCGAGUUUUGAAGUCAAAGAAAUGUGUUAACAUAGAUGGAACAGAUGGUCGUGGAAAGAUUAAUACAAUUCACUGUGACGGCUAUCAUGAUCAACAAAUCAUUAUGUGUGGAGAUGGCACGAUAAGGAAUUCAAAAGCUCCUCAUAAUUGUUUUACACC